UACAGAGGUCCCAAGCGUUGUUCGGAUUUACUGGGCGUAAAGGGUGCGUAGGUGGCGAGGUAAGUUCGAUGUGAAAUCUCCGAGCUCAACUCGGAAAUGGCAUUGAAUACUAUCCCGCUUGAGGGUCGGAGGGGAGACUGGAAUUCUCGGUGUAGCAGUGAAAUGCGUAGAUAUCGAGAGGAACACCAGUGGCGAAGGCGAGUCUCUGGACGACUCCUGACACUGAGGCGCGGAAAGCGUGGGGAGCAAACAGG
This 254-nucleotide ribosomal RNA is filed under the name uncultured bacterium. RNAcentral's name for it is "partial 16S ribosomal RNA". It matches the Rfam family "Bacterial small subunit ribosomal RNA", at positions 524 to 776 of the family's 1533-position model. The record is from RNAcentral.